UACGUAGGUGGCAAGCGUUGUCCGGAUUUAUUGGGUUUAAAGGGUGCGUAGGUGGUUGGUUAAGUCCGUGGUGAAAGACGAUCGCUCAACGAUUGCAGUGCCAUGGAUACUGACCGACUUGAAUGACGUUGAGGUGGGCGGAAUUGACCGUGUAGCGGUGAAAUGCUUAGAUAUGGUCAAGAACCCCAAUUGCGUAGGCAGCUCACUGGACGUCUAUUGACACUGAGGCACGAGAGUGCGGGGAUCAAACAGG
RNAcentral lists this ribosomal RNA (253 nucleotides) under uncultured bacterium. RNAcentral describes it as "partial 16S ribosomal RNA". It matches the Rfam family "Bacterial small subunit ribosomal RNA", at positions 524 to 776 of the family's 1533-position model. The record is from RNAcentral.